Cyprinus carpio carpio is the source of this 1170-nucleotide long non-coding RNA. NCBI's taxonomy places the organism in Eukaryota, Metazoa, Chordata, Actinopteri, Cypriniformes, Cyprinidae. The record is from Ensembl.
GUGCAGUUUAAUUCACUUGACUAAUUUGCUUAAUUUUGAAAUGAUGAUGUUUCAUUCUGUUUUGACUUGCCAUUUCAAAGACUACAUAUUAACAAUACUACACUUCAUUAAAAAUGUAUGUGAUCAUUUAACCAUUAUCAUGCAUGUUGUUUAUCAUGGGUCACAUAAUAUGCUGCCAGAUCAUAGCCUGAUUUGGGCCACAUAUCACCUGACUGAUCUGGGCCACACUCCUCCCACCAACAAUCGGCCCUCAUAUUGUUUGCCGGAUCCCCGCCCUCCCGUCAUUGCCACACAUGGCCCAGCUCUGGCUGAAAGGGUACAUGCCAUUGCCGACAGGAGGCCAGCAGUGCCAGCUUGAGGCCACAUUUGGGCCAAGUCCAUUUGCUAUGUGGGGGAUGGAAUGAGCGAAAAAAAAAAGAAACCUGCACAAGUACUUAUCUACACGCACCAGAUGACCUCAGAACAGAUGAUCCAGUGGCGUUGCAACAUCUGAUUGAAGGCCUAUUCUUGGGCAUCCAGCAGAAAAAGAGGAAUCUAUAUCGAGUAACCGACCGUAACAAACAGCGACACAAGAUCCGAAGAUGGAUUAGAGAGGAUAAGAAAAAGCUGUUUAAUGCCAUAUCCCAAUACAAUGAUCUUCCAACCACCACAGAAUCUGUAGAUUCAGUUGAAGACCUUCUGGCAACAGAAAGCCCUAUCUGGCCUUGGGAUUCUGAACCUGACACUUCCUUAGGCAUGAAGAAGAAGGUUUUUGACAAGGUGAUGUAGCUGGAGAGACUGAUUGAGGAAGAGGCUAUAAUUUUAGAGGAAAUGAAACAACAUUGGACUCAUCUUACAAGAACCUGCAGGGCCUUGAAGGACCAGGCUAAUGUACUAUCAGAUGACCUGGCCACACAGAACUACCCUUCAGGACUGUCUGGUCAAGCUUACCAUGGCCUGCACAGUGCUGUCCUCCAAAAAUGUGAGGAGCUCAAAACAGACCUGGUACCUGUGAAAGAAACCUACUCCCAAAUAGUGGUAAAUGGGAAUGGUGGAACUGUUGUUGAAGAAGAUGAAGACCCAUAUGAGCAUGUCUCCACAGAUGCCUCUACAGAUGAUGAAUUAUAGAUUCUCUCUUCUCCACUGCACAAACUGGUCUCCUGACUCUGAGUAGCUCAAGUUAGCUCUCCC